RNAcentral lists this ribosomal RNA (506 nucleotides) under uncultured bacterium. RNAcentral describes it as "bacterial SSU rRNA". It matches the Rfam family "Bacterial small subunit ribosomal RNA", at positions 899 to 1397 of the family's 1533-position model. The record is from RNAcentral.
ACUCAAAUGAAUUGACGGGGGCUCACACAAGCGGAGGAGCAUGUUGUUCAAUUCGAAGCAACGCGAAGAACCUUACCUGGGUUUGACAUGCUGGAAGUAGGAUCCUGAAAGGGGGACGACCGGUAUCCAGUCCGGAGCCAGCACAGGUGCUGCAUGGCUGUCGUCAGUUCGUGUCGUGAGACGUUAGGUUAAGUCCUGUAACGAACGAAACCCCUGUCGUCUGUUGCUACCGGGUCAUGCCGGGCACUCUGACGAGACUGCCGAUGUUAAAUCGGAGGAAGGUGGGGACGACGUCAAGUCAUCAUGGUCCUUACGCCCAGGGCCACAAACGUGCUACAAUGGUCGGCACAAAGAGACGCAAGGCCGCGAGGCGGAGCAAAUCUUCAAAACCGGCCCCAGUUCGGAUUGGAGGCUGCAAUUCGCCUCCAUGAAGUUGGAUUCGCUAGUAAUCGCGGAUCAGCCACGCCGCGGUGAAUACGUUCCUGAGCCUUGUACACACCGCCCGU